This 416-nucleotide ribosomal RNA is filed under the name uncultured bacterium. Its description in RNAcentral is "bacterial SSU rRNA". It matches the Rfam family "Bacterial small subunit ribosomal RNA", at positions 58 to 521 of the family's 1533-position model. The record is from RNAcentral.
CAAGUCGAGCGCGUAGCAAUACGAGCGGCGAACGGGUGAGUAAUACGUUGGGAUCUGCCCCGAACUCAGGGAUAACACCUAGAAAUAGGUGCUAAUACCGGAUAGUCCCGCAAGGGUAAAGCUUUUGCGGUUCGGGAGGAACCUGCGUCCUAUCAGCUUGUUGGUGAGGUAACGGCUUACCAAGGCUAUGACGGGUAGCUGGUCUGAGAGGAUGAUCAGCCACAAUGGGACUGAGACACGGCCCAUACUCCUACGGGAGGCAGCAGUAAGGAAUCUUUCGCAAUGGGGGAAACCCUGACGAAGCGACAUCGCGUGAUCGAUGAAGGCCGUAAGGUUGUAAAGAUCUUUUCUGAAGGAAUAAUUCUGAAGGUACUUCAGGAAUAAGCACCGGCUAACUCCGUGCCAGCAGCCGCGGU